CUACGGGCGGGAGCAGACAGAGGCGGCGUGGAGCGCCACGUUAUUCUUUCCACCCUUGCGUGGCUGUACCGGAAGGAGGUGCCCAUUUUCAGGACUUGACGCUUCCAGUUUAAACCUCAAGAUGAAGAAAGUGAGACCCAGAAGAGUCACUCAUCAAUUGAACCAUUUCAACAACCAGAUCUGGCCUCUAUUCCUGUUGUUGCAGACGAAAGAAAUGGAAAAGCUCCGAGCAGAAUGAAGUCAGAGCAUGCGCCUUCGUGCUCUGGGUAAGGGGUCAUCGCCAAAUUCCGGAUCAACCUUAGGAUCAACUUGGAGACCUACACACGAAGAGGAAAGCUGCACACUUGAAAUGGCAUUUUCAGUGCAAAUUGGUAUCUGGUUAUGUGGUAUCAUGGCUCUAUGGAAGUGUACUUGCCCAUUGUGAGCGCGCAAUUAACAGCACAUAUUGUUAUUUUCUAAGUUCCUCAUAAGUAUUUUCUACGCGGCUGUAUUAGUUAAAGAACAGUAGUGAAGCUUUAAAUUUGGCAGGAGACAUCCGGAAAUAGCCUUUGGAAUGAAAGGAUUACAACUCAUCUGCUGAAAGCAUGCGUGGCUCUUAAAAGAGCCUUUGGGGUUAGGUGUAAAGACGCUUACU
Orcinus orca (killer whale) is the source of this 634-nucleotide long non-coding RNA. RefSeq lists it as uncharacterized. Lineage: Eukaryota; Metazoa; Chordata; Mammalia; Artiodactyla; Delphinidae. The record is from RefSeq and is a predicted model, not a curated record. The transcript has 3 exons.